This 825-nucleotide long non-coding RNA is filed under the name Physcomitrium patens. RNAcentral describes it as "long non-coding RNA (PPAT_LNC013853)". The record is from RNAcentral. Lineage: Eukaryota; Viridiplantae; Streptophyta; Bryopsida; Funariales; Funariaceae.
UCGUCUCAACCUAACUCACCACCUCCUCCAAACGCCUUCUUAAUUCCACCAAUCCCUUCACCCUCCAUGCCACAAUAGCUGUUAGCUACGGAUAAUAUUCAACUUGAAUUGGACAUAGCUCAAACACCACUAUAACAGGGAAAGAGAACACACACAGAACAAACAAACAAACAAACAAAAAACAGCUUUAGGUUACUGGAAUAUUUGGAAACGAGCCAUACAUCUCCUGCAUUCUUCUAAAAAGCCCUAAAAAAUAAACACCAAAACCAAAACUGGCGUAGGUAUUUUACCGACAAAGAGUAAAGAAAAUUGCAGGGAAUCCGUCUUCCAAGCAUGAAUUGCUGUCACCACAACGGAGAACAUCGCCGAAAGCAGCAGCCAUGGCAGUAUCAAAGGCAGAUACUGGUAGUACAUCUUCCAUACCGGCACUCUUGUCUCCUCAAAUCGGAGCGGAAUCCGAGGCGCAGAUGGAUUUGUGUAGACCAUCACUGCUGAGUGCGUUCCGCUUCUAAGAAACACGUAACUGAAACAUCAAAAAGUAGCACCCGAAAGGAGCCUUGUAACACCCUAAACCCUAGCCCUAAAACCUGGUAGACACUCAUGCCUUCCAAUUUAACCCGUCAAAUUGGUCUCUGAAAAACUUCGCACAGUCCACAACAACCGUCCUCCGACUAAAAACUAUCGAAGGGGCCCACACUCGUCUGCAACAGACAAAGCCAAUUGAGUCACGAGGAAUUGCAACAAUUGGCGCAGGCCAUUCCCGAAUAGAACCAUCGGCCUUCCUGGCCAUUCAAAACAACGUCCACCUUCGAACUUGAAACUAGC